This 368-nucleotide small RNA is filed under the name Mentha arvensis (corn mint). RNAcentral describes it as "eukaryotic LSU rRNA". Lineage: Eukaryota; Viridiplantae; Streptophyta; Magnoliopsida; Lamiales; Lamiaceae. The record is from RNAcentral.
CUCUUUACUUUCUAGUCUUUGACGCAAGUUGUGUCUGAAGCCAUUAGGCCGAGAAUACGUCUACCUGGGCAUCACACAUCGUGUCACACCCUACCCCACGUGAAUCGCCAGGCGGUUGGGGAUGGAUACUGGCCUCCCGUGUGCUUCGGCAUGUGGCUGGCCUAAAUGGGAUCCCUAGGCGACUGGCGUCACGACAAGUGGUGGUUGAACAUCUUAAUCUCCUCAUGGUCAUGUUGCCAUAUCGUCCCAUACAAGAAUCAUAAAUGACCCAAUGGUGCAUGGCGCAAAUAGUGUCUCACUUUUGACUGUGACCCCAGGUCAGGCGGGAUUACCCAUUUAGUUUAAGCAUAUCAAUAAGCGGAGGAAAA